Molecule: long non-coding RNA, 674 nt
Organism: Anoplopoma fimbria (sablefish)
Lineage: Eukaryota; Metazoa; Chordata; Actinopteri; Perciformes; Anoplopomatidae
Exons: 3
Source: RefSeq, a predicted model, not a curated record
GAUAUGCUGCAAUGCGACAACAAAGACAAGGAAGAAGAAGACUGCUAGCAUGGAGGUGUUACCAAUUCUGAAUUGUUGUACAUGGAGGGAAAUGCUCUAAACACAUUUGUUGGACCUCAAUUCGUUUCGUGCUGACCAGCGACAGGGAUGGGAGUGAAAGCCUUCAUGUAUCCUGCUAGAGCCACCUGGACUACUCUGCAAAAGGAACAUAAACAACAUCAACAGAAAGCAAAGGCUGGAUACACUGAACCAAUCACAGGCUGUUUUCCACAUUUGGUGCAAUCCUUUGAGCUGAAUCUCCUACGGAGCAGGGACAAUACAAAGGAGACUAAGGCAUCAACCUGAGGUGACUGCGUGGCUGAAUUUAUGAAAACUCAUGCUUUAGUAUUUUUCAGUCAAAGUAGCAGAUAAUGGGACGCAUUCCCAUCUAUAUCAGAGAAUGUAUCAGCUUCAGUAUUUUUAAAACAAUAUUUUCAACGUGGCUCAAGACAAACAAAUCAUGUGAUCAUCUAAACCUUUGUAUGGAACAAACUGUUUUCAAACAUGCAAACUAUACAUCACAUUGUUUUAUGUGUAAUGUACUGUACUGUAAAUGUUGAAAACUGCUCUGCUUGCAUUAUGUUUUGCUUUUAUCUAUUUGUAUUGUACAGUAUUGUUUUUUAAUAUCUUCCUGC